GGGCGCGUAGCUCAGCUGGUAGAGCAGCGGACUCUUAAUCCGCCGGUCCGGGGUUCGAUCCCCCGCGCGCUCACCA
RNAcentral lists this transfer RNA (76 nucleotides) under Deltaproteobacteria bacterium. RNAcentral describes it as "tRNA-Lys". It matches the Rfam family "tRNA". From Rfam's summary of the family: Transfer RNA (tRNA) molecules are approximately 80 nucleotides in length. Their secondary structure includes four short double-helical elements and three loops (D, anti-codon, and T loops). Lineage: Bacteria; Pseudomonadati; Myxococcota; Myxococcia. The record is from RNAcentral. RNAcentral also lists the same sequence under 2 other names.